AUGGCCUAGGUUAAUGGUAGACCGUUCGUCUUCCAAACGAAGUGUACCGAUUCGAAUUCGGUUGGCCAUA
This 70-nucleotide transfer RNA is filed under the name Jatropha curcas. It matches the Rfam family "tRNA". From Rfam's summary of the family: Transfer RNA (tRNA) molecules are approximately 80 nucleotides in length. Their secondary structure includes four short double-helical elements and three loops (D, anti-codon, and T loops). Lineage: Eukaryota; Viridiplantae; Streptophyta; Magnoliopsida; Malpighiales; Euphorbiaceae. The record is from Rfam by way of RNAcentral.